UAGGGAAUCUUCCACAAUGGGCGCAAGCCUGAUGGAGCAACACCGCGUGAGUGAAGAAGGGUUUCGGCUCGUAAAGCUCUGUUGUUGGAGAAGAACGUGCGUGAGAGUAACUGUUCACGCAGUGACGGUAUCCAACCAGAAAGUCACGGCUAACUACGUGCCAGCAGCCGCGGUAAUACGUAGGUGGCAAGCGUUAUCCGGAUUUAUUGGGCGUAAAGCGAGCGCAGGCGGUUGCUUAGGUCUGAUGUGAAAGCCUUCGGCUUAACCGAAGAAGUGCAUCGGAAACCGGGCGACUUGAGUGCAGAAGAGGACAGUGGAACUCCAUGUGUAGCGGUGGAAUGCGUAGAUAUAUGGAAGAACACCAGUGGCGAAGGCGGCUGUCUGGUCUGCAACUGACGCUGAGGCUCGAAAGCAUGGGUAGCGAACAGG
RNAcentral lists this ribosomal RNA (429 nucleotides) under Bacillota bacterium. Its description in RNAcentral is "Firmicutes bacterium partial 16S ribosomal RNA". It matches the Rfam family "Bacterial small subunit ribosomal RNA", at positions 355 to 776 of the family's 1533-position model. Lineage: Bacteria; Bacillati; Bacillota. RNAcentral also lists the same sequence under 2 other names. The record is from RNAcentral.